RNAcentral lists this ribosomal RNA (537 nucleotides) under uncultured bacterium. RNAcentral describes it as "bacterial SSU rRNA". It matches the Rfam family "Bacterial small subunit ribosomal RNA", at positions 359 to 917 of the family's 1533-position model. The record is from RNAcentral.
GGAUUGGAAAUGGGCGCAGCCUGAUCCAGCAAUGCCGCGUGAGUGAGGAAGGCCUUAGGGUUGUAAAGCUCUUUCGGCGGGGACGAUGAUGACGGUACCCGCAGAAGAAGCCCCGGCUAACUUCGUGCCAGCAGCCGCGGUAAUACGAAGGGGGCGAGCGUUGUUCGGAAUUACUGGGCGUAAAGGGCGCGUAGGCGGCCAUCUUUGUCAGGCGUGAAAGCCCCGGGCUCAACCUGGGAACUGCGCUUGGGACGGGGUGGCUUGAGUUCGGGAGAGGAGCGUGGAAUUCCCAGUGUAGAGGUGAAAUUCGUAGAUAUUGGGAAGAACACCGGUGGCGAAGGCGGCGCUCUGGACCGAGACUGACGCUGAGGCGCGAAAGCGUGGGGAGCAAACAGGAUUAGAUACCCUGGUAGUCCACGCUGUAAACGAUGUGUGCUAGACGUUGGGGAGCCUAGCUCUUCGGUGUCGCAGCUAACGCGGUAAGCACACCGCCUGGGGAGUACGGCCGCAAGGUUAAAACUCAAAAAAAUUGACGGA